RNAcentral lists this ribosomal RNA (478 nucleotides) under uncultured bacterium. RNAcentral describes it as "partial 16S ribosomal RNA". It matches the Rfam family "Bacterial small subunit ribosomal RNA", at positions 28 to 523 of the family's 1533-position model. The record is from RNAcentral.
GACGAACGCUGGCGGCGUGCUUAACACAUGCAGGUCGAACGGUAAGGCCCUUCGGGGUACACGAGUGGCGAACGGGUGAGUAACACGUGGGUGAUCUGCCCUGCACUUCGGGAUAAGCCUGGGAAACUGGGUCUAAUACCGGAUAGGACCCUGGGAUGCAUGUCCUGGGGUGGAAAGCUGUUGCGGUGUGGGAUGGGCCCGCGGCCUAUCAGCUUGUUGGUGGGGUGAUGGCCUACCAAGGCGACGACGGGUAGCCGGCCUGAGAGGGUGACCGGCCAAACUGGGACUGAGAUACGGCCCAGACUCCUACGGGAGGCAGCAGUGGGGAAUAUUGCACAAUGGGCGCAAGCCUGAUGCAGCGACGCCGCGUGAGGGAUGACGGCCUUCGGGUUGUAAACCUCUUUCAGCACCGACGAAGCGCAAGUGACGGUAGGUGCAGAAGAAGGACCGGCCAACUACGUGCCAGCAGCCGCGGUAA